GAAAUGCGAUAAGUAAUGUGAAUUGCAGAAUUCAGUGAAUCAUCGAAUCUUUGAACGCACCUUGCGCUCCUUGGUAUUCCUUGGAGCAUGCCUGUUUGAGUAUCAUGAAAUCUUCAAAGUAAAUCUUUUGUUAACUCAAUUGGUUUCUACUUUGGUAUUGGAGGUCUUUGCAGCUUCACACCUGCUCCUCUUUGUUCAUUAGCUGGAUCUCAGUGUUAUGCUUGGUUCCACUCGGCGUGAUAAGUUAUCUAUCGCUGAGGACACUGUAAAAGGUGGCCAAGGUAAAUGCAGAUGAACCGCUUCUAAUAGUCCAUUGACUUGGACAAUACUUUUAUGAUCUGAUCUCACAUCAGGUAGGACUACCCGCUGAACUUACGC
This 378-nucleotide unclassified non-coding RNA is filed under the name plant metagenome. RNAcentral's name for it is "partial contains 5.8S ribosomal RNA, internal transcribed spacer 2, and large subunit ribosomal RNA". The stretch from base 1 to 105 matches the Rfam family "5.8S ribosomal RNA", at positions 50 to 154 of the family's 154-position model. The record is from RNAcentral.